Long non-coding RNA from Sarcophilus harrisii (Tasmanian devil), 965 nucleotides. RefSeq lists it as uncharacterized. The transcript is spliced from 3 exons. The record is from RefSeq and is a predicted model, not a curated record. NCBI's taxonomy places the organism in Eukaryota, Metazoa, Chordata, Mammalia, Dasyuromorphia, Dasyuridae.
AAGGGGCAAACAUGACUCAACAACAAACAAAGCAGUUGUUAUAAAUGAUUGGUUAUUCUUAUCUUUAUUUGCUUAGAUAAUGGAUUUCCCUCUCUCACCCAGACUGAUAAUGCAGUGGCCAUUCAUUCAAUCACAGCACUGAUUGGCAUGGAAGCUUUGACCUGCUCCAUUUUCCUGAUCUGGACUGAUGGUUCUCCUCUGAGGCAGGGGAGGUCACGAUUUUAAGCUGUCACUUGUAGUCACUUUGUAGCUGAAAGUUGGAUUCCAAAGUCCUGCUUCUCUCAGAAGGGUCCAACUUGGACUCUCUGAUCCAAUAGAGACUGAAUAAAUAAGAGAUGCUGAGCUGUUUGCUAUCAGGUUGGAACAAAUUGAGGAAUAAUCAGUCCUGUUUGCUGGACUGACGAGACCAUGGAGGGAAACUGGAAGGAUUCACAGAUUCUCUCACUGCCCCUUGCUCACAUUCUGUUGGAGGAGUUUGAAUGGCGUAUGGAGUUUGCCAAGGAUAGGAGGAGUGUUUGAAGAAGUGUUUCUUUUCCAUUUCUACUCAUUCAGGGAUGCCUGUGCCCUGUCUGCCUCUCAGGAAGCCAAGAUCCAUUGGAAAAGGAAAUGGGUGCCCAUGUUGGUGGGCAGGUUGGUGGGAGGGCCAAAAGAGAAAGCUUCCCUCUGGAAAAGGUGAUUACUUUGCAUUUUCUAUCUCAAAUCAUCAUUUACAUGAUGUAUUAACCCAACCAGGUAAUUAAAAUCAUUAACGUUUCCUUUUUGCAGAUUGGUAAUAAAGGGAAAAUAAGUGUGAGAAUCAUCACUCAUCCCUGCAGUCUCAUCAGACAACUCCCCCUCUAUUCCCCCCCCCAAUCUAAAUUCCACCUAAGAAUGGUUUGGAUGACUUCAAGGCCUGAAAAGAGAUAUGUUUUUGUGAUACAGUUCAUGUUACCAAAAUCAAGAGAAUUCUCUAUCUUUAUUCCAUC